UGGGGAAUUUUGGACAAUGGGGGAAACCCUGAUCCAGCCAUCCCGCGUGUGCGAUGAAGGCCUUCGGGUUGUAAAGCACUUUUGGCAGGAAAGAAACGUCAUGGGUUAAUACCCCGUGAAACUGACGGUACCUGCAGAAUAAGCACCGGCUAACUACGUGCCAGCAGCCGCGGUAAUACGUAGGGUGCAAGCGUUAAUCGGAAUUACUGGGCGUAAAGCGUGCGCAGGCGGUUCGGAAAGAAAGAUGUGAAAUCCCAGAGCUCAACUUUGGAACUGCAUUUUUAACUACCGGGCUAGAGGGUGUCAGAGGGAGGUGGAAUUCCGCGGGUAGCAGUGAAAUGCGUAGAUAUGCGGAGGAACACCGAUGGCGAAGGCAGCCUCCUGGGAUAACACUGACGCUCAUGCACGAAAGCGUGGGGAGCAAACAGG
Molecule: ribosomal RNA, 429 nt
Filed under: Acidobacteriota bacterium
Lineage: Bacteria; Pseudomonadati; Acidobacteriota
Description: Acidobacteria bacterium partial 16S ribosomal RNA
Rfam family: Bacterial small subunit ribosomal RNA
Source: RNAcentral